GCCCUCGGUGGUUCAGCUGGGUAGAGCGUUUGCCUAGUAAGCAAGAGAUCCCGGGUUCGAGUCCCUGUCGGGGCA
This is a non-coding RNA of Schistocerca americana (American grasshopper), 75 nucleotides long. The record is from the annotation of a RefSeq genome assembly. Lineage: Eukaryota; Metazoa; Arthropoda; Insecta; Orthoptera; Acrididae.